AACGAACGCUGGCGGCAGGCUUAACACAUGCAAGUCGAACGGGUGCAGCAAUGCAUCAGUGGCAGACGGGUGAGUAACACGUGGGAACCUUCCUAGGGGUACGGAACAACUCAGGGAAACUUGAGCUAAUACCGUAUACGUCCGUGAGGAGAAAGAUUCAUCGCCCCUAGACGGGCCCGCGUCGGAUUAGGUAGUUGGUGGGGUAACGGCCUACCAAGCCUACGAUCCGUAGCUGANCUGAGAGGAUGAUCAGCCACCACUGGGACUGAGACACGGCCCAGACUCCUACGGGAGGCAGCAGUGGGGAAUCUUGGACAAUGGGCGCAAGCCUGAUCCAGCCAUGCCGCGUGAGUGAAGAAGGCCU
Molecule: ribosomal RNA, 364 nt
Filed under: uncultured bacterium
Lineage: Bacteria
Description: bacterial SSU rRNA
Rfam family: Bacterial small subunit ribosomal RNA
Source: RNAcentral